Mustela lutreola (European mink) is the source of this 519-nucleotide long non-coding RNA. RefSeq lists it as uncharacterized. The record is from RefSeq and is a predicted model, not a curated record. Lineage: Eukaryota; Metazoa; Chordata; Mammalia; Carnivora; Mustelidae. The transcript is spliced from 4 exons.
CGGCAGGCACCCCUUCGCGGCUAAAGGGGCUAGAACCGGAAAUGCUCCGGCUGCCCUGCGGCCUCGCUAGGUAAGGUUGGCAGUCAGUCUUUCAGAAGGUCGGGUUUACGGUGGAUAGAAGAGCUGUCCUGAAAUAUGAGACAACUGUUUUACAGUGCUCUUAAAACAGAAGAUGACCAUUGUGUUGGAGCUCUGUGAUGAAGGAGGAAGGCAGUAAAUAUGAGAGCCUAUUUUUAUAAAGCCAAGCAUGAUCAGGCUGGAGAAAACACAUACUGCCAGAAGACUAUAGAUUUCUCACCUAAGAGAUAGAAGAGCCGCGGUUGAACUCUGGCAACACUGGCAGAUACCCACCACUGACAGAGGCAAGAAAGGAGGAGCCCAGACCUGGGAGCUGACAUGCGGCCAGUUUACUCUGGAGAAGCUGAUUCAGUUGUUAAAAUACUGCAAUUCUUCAUUACUAAUGGGUAAGUAAUUGCUGUCUGAGCCCCCUGAGGUGCUUAGUACCCUGGCUCACCCUAG